AUUGAACGCUGGCGGCAUGCCUUACACAUGCAAGUCGAACGGCAGCAUGGAGAGCUUGCUCUCUGAUGGCGAGUGGCGAACGGGUGAGUAAUGCAUCGGAACGUACCGUGUAAUGGGGGAUAACGUAGCGAAAGUUACGCUAAUACCGCACACGACCGGAGGGUGAAAGCAGGGGAUCGCAAGACCUUGCGUUAUACGAGCGGCCGAUGUCAGAUUAGCUAGUUGGUGAGGUAAAGGCUCACCAAGGCGACGAUCUGUAGCGGGUCUGAGAGGAUGAUCCGCCACACUGGGACUGAGACACGGCCCAGACUCCUACGGGAGGCAGCAGUGGGGAAUUUUGGACAAUGGGGGCAACCCUGAUCCAGCCAUGCCGCGUGAGUGAAGAAGGCCUUCGGGUUGUAAAGCUCUUUCGGCCGGGAAGAAAUCGCACAGGCUAAUACUCUGUGUGGAUGACGGUACCGGCAUAAGAAGCACCGGCUAACUACGUGCCAGCAGCCGCAGUAA
This 504-nucleotide ribosomal RNA is filed under the name uncultured bacterium. RNAcentral's name for it is "partial 16S ribosomal RNA". It matches the Rfam family "Bacterial small subunit ribosomal RNA", at positions 30 to 523 of the family's 1533-position model. The record is from RNAcentral.